RNAcentral lists this ribosomal RNA (217 nucleotides) under Crenicichla niederleinii. Its description in RNAcentral is "partial small subunit ribosomal RNA". Lineage: Eukaryota; Metazoa; Chordata; Actinopteri; Cichliformes; Cichlidae. The record is from RNAcentral.
GUCGGUAAAACUCGUGCCAGCCACCGCGGUUAUACGAGUAGGCCCGAGUUGAUAAACAUCGGCGUAAAGAGUGGUUAGGGACAGGAUAAAUAACUAAAGCCGAAUAUCCUCAAAGCUGUUAUACGCUUCCGAUGGGAAGAAGCCCCCUCACGAAAGUAGCUUUAACCUCCAACCUGACCCCACGAAAGCUGAGGUACAAACUGGGAUUAGAUACCCC